CGGCGGACGGGUGAGUAACACGUGGGUAACCUGCCCGUAAGACUGGGAUAACUCCGGGAAACCGGGGCUAAUACCGGAUAAGAUUUUCUACUUCAUGGUUCAUAAUUGAAAGGUGGUUUCGGCUGUCACUUAUGGAUGGACCCGCGUCGCAUUAGCUAGUUGGUGAGGUAACGGCUCACCAAGGCAACGAUGCGUAGCCGACCUGAGAGGGUGAUCGGCCACACUGGGACUGAGACACGGCCCAGACUCCUACGGGAGGCAGCAGUAGGGAAUCUUCCGCAAUGGACGAAAGUCUGACGGAGCAACGCCGCGUGAGUGAUGAAGGCUUUCGGGUCGUAAAACUCUGUUGUUAGGGAAGAACAAG
Molecule: ribosomal RNA, 364 nt
Filed under: Bacillus sp. (in: firmicutes)
Lineage: Bacteria; Bacillati; Bacillota; Bacilli; Caryophanales; Bacillaceae
Description: bacterial SSU rRNA
Rfam family: Bacterial small subunit ribosomal RNA
Source: RNAcentral